Molecule: small nucleolar RNA, 107 nt
Organism: Prosopis cineraria
Lineage: Eukaryota; Viridiplantae; Streptophyta; Magnoliopsida; Fabales; Fabaceae
Source: RefSeq, a predicted model, not a curated record
AAUUGGUGAUGGGGACAUUGGUUUAUGAGGAUAUUUUAAUGUUCCCAGGCCUCAUGGAAUAAUUCACCAUUUUGCUAUGUGAAGAAGUGGAUUUUGUUCUUUAAUUU